Molecule: long non-coding RNA, 442 nt
Organism: Pleuronectes platessa (European plaice)
Lineage: Eukaryota; Metazoa; Chordata; Actinopteri; Pleuronectiformes; Pleuronectidae
Exons: 2
Source: RefSeq, a predicted model, not a curated record
UCUGCGGUCUGCCGCCUGUGGAGAAAUGAAGGGCCGCCGCUGGACACGUUUCCCUCCAUUAAAAAAAACACCAUGUGAGAAAACGCCAAGAGGCCGAGGCCCAUUAAUGCUGCUCGCUCUGCCAGGGGCCGGACUACACAGAACACAUUCAUGUUAACAAGUGACCGAGUCCAGUGGGGACUGAAGUCCGGAUUUCUUAAAACAAAUAAAGAGCGCCCGGCAGAUGAGAUCAUUCCACUUCUACUUCCAGAGCACAAGCUGAUUCAAAAAUGGUGAUGGGGAAGAAUGACACCAAAUCUUAUCAGUGGAAGUGAGGCGUGGCCAUUUUCUAGAAGCUGCUGGCACACCCGGCUGUCAUUAAAAGGUCAUAAGUCAUCUUAGGUAAAUAGCGACACAUCAAGUGAGCAGGAUAUUAAAUUAGCAAGACAAUAAUGUCCCAAAA